This is a small nucleolar RNA of Alosa sapidissima (American shad), 290 nucleotides long. Lineage: Eukaryota; Metazoa; Chordata; Actinopteri; Clupeiformes; Clupeidae. The record is from RefSeq and is a predicted model, not a curated record.
ACCCAGUGAUGAUCCCAAGGCGAAUGCGAGCUCUCUGAAUCAGGGGCUGGGCUCUCCUGCACACACACUGGCCGGUAAUCUUGGCAGGGCAGAGGAGGUUUGCUGCUCUGCUGUAAGGGCCGGCCUACAUUAAACCCAGUCCUGCUCCUAAUGCCUUCUCGCAAAGACACGCGCAAAAGGACCGAGGGUGUGACUUACUGUGUGUGUGUGUGUGUGCGUGUGCAGGUUGAAACUCUGUUCUCGGUGGAAUUCACUGAGCUAUGAGCUGCUUUUUUGGUAAUCUGAGGGUG